This 2715-nucleotide long non-coding RNA is filed under the name Panax ginseng (ginseng). RNAcentral describes it as "long non-coding RNA (PGIN_LNC003597)". Lineage: Eukaryota; Viridiplantae; Streptophyta; Magnoliopsida; Apiales; Araliaceae. The record is from RNAcentral.
AAAUAUCAUCCUAACCUUCUAUUUAAAUAAGCAACAGGCAGGAUAAAGAAUAUGAGAUGGCCGUCCGCUAGAAGUACAAGCGGACAUAAUAAAAUAAUUUUCUAGACCAUUAUACCCCAAACAGGUCAAGUUAGCAAACAAAAAAUUCACUAAAACAGGGGCAAACCAGCAGCACAACCCUAAGUAAAAGCAUCUAGGCAAUCGAGACGAUUCCGAGUGCAAAACCCUUCAAUUGGCAACAAAACUUCAAAUUUUUCAUACAAGCGUGUUCGAUUUCUAUUAUUCAUCGACGUUUAAUCGGUGAGUUUUUCGAAUUAGAAGGUUAAGAAUUGAAAACUUUUCAUAAUUGGGAACCAUCUAUGGUUGUCUAAAAAAUGGGUAGCAUAAUUGUUUGGGUCACAUAAAAGAGUAGAAUUUAUGUAAUAAGGAAUUAGGGCUUUAGAAUACUAUAUGCAUUUUGGAUGUUAGGUUUAUUGAAUUUAAGGCUUUAUGACAUUAUAGUUUCAGUUUUAUGUUGUUAUGAUGUUAAAUACUAUGUGUAAUACUAUAUUUUAUUUUUUUGAUUCAUCUAUUAAUUUCUCAUCUUAAUUAAUGUUCUAUACUCUGUUCUACAACUCUUUUGGUCUAGAGAUUGCUCAAGUUUUGGCCAAAUACAGGUAAUCCCCAUUCUAUGUAUAUAUAGUAUUUAUAUAGUUAUUCGUCUAUAUUUAUGUCUUGAUAAAGUAAACAUGCAGAUCUAUAUUUUGUUUUUCAAUUCUUUUACCUUAUGUUUGCUUUUGGCUCUCAAUGUUGGUUACUGUUUAGUUACUAUAUAUCCUUUCCUUUAGUUUAAUAUUAUAUGUUAAAGUUCUGAUUAUUGAUAGCAAUAUGGGAUUUAGUUGAAAUUUUGAAGCUACUGUUUGUUUUUAAGUUGUGAUGUGUAUAUGCAUAUGUGAUUGUGGAAAUAAUACUAAAUCCAAUAUUAUUGAUUUUUUUCAGUUGAGGCUUUUUGGAAGCAAAUCCCUCAAAGGCUAAAUUUCAAUAUUCAUCUUUAUUAAUGAAUCUUACUUAAGUAGAUAAAAAGCCAUUUGCUAAAGGAUUCAAGGACAGGAAUUUCUGGGGGAUAGAACAAGUUUAAAAAGGGAGAAGCUGCUAAUAGUCACAUGUAUUGUAUCAUUCAAAUAUUAUAAAGUGAAUAGCUUAUGUGCUCUGCUUUAUUAUUGGUUAAAUUUCCUUAAUGGGCUGCACCCGUCUACAUAUCCUUGCAUUAUUGUAGGAGUUAUGACAUAAUUUUGUUAGGAAUAUGCAUUUGAAUGUUAUUCCUUUAUUAGUAUAAUUUGAUGAUGAAGUUAAUGAAUGAAUAUGCAAACAUGUUUGCAUUUAUAAAAGCUGUAAAGUCCUUAAUAGAUGAUAGAAAAUAUGGACAAGGACUUAGAUUGAUAUGAUCAAAAUUGUUAAGUUGAUCUGUGCUUAAUGUUCUGUAAAUGAAUGUAUAGAAGAAAAGAUCAAAGCUGUUAGGUUGAUCUAUUUUGAAGUGUAAUAGAUAUGCAUGUCUGAUCGUAGAGCUCUGCACAAGUCAUCUAAGUCUGCCAAGAAAAUAAGGCAGAAUCGUAGUCUAUUGAAGCAAAGUCGUAGACUAUCGAGCUAGUCGAGAGAUUGUAGAAGCCAAGGUAGAAUCGUAGAGUAUCGAAGAAGUUGCUUCAGAAUCGUAGUCUGUCUUGAGAAUCCAUACCCAGAAUCGUGGAGUUGGUCCGACCAUCUGCCGAGCCAAGUCAAAAAUCGUAGUCUGCACUCAGAAUCAUAGAAGAUGCCUGCUAAGCACCUGUCGAGCUAGAAUCGUAGACUUGACUCUGAAUCGUGAAGUCUAUAUGUCGUCACCUAUCAGAUUCACAGUUUGCAGAACCAGAGCCAAAGUCGUAGUCAGCCAGAUGUUUACAUAGCCAUGGAAUAAUCGUGGAGCACUCUACGAUUCUCUACAGAAGCAAACCUAAAGUAUAUGCAUAGAUCGCUUUCUGUGGUAAGAACAGUCCAGUUUAAGAAUGCAAUCUGCUUGAAGAAUAUCAGAAAGCAUUCUCUGAAUGAUCUGCAAGCAAGUAGGAGAUCAAAGCACUAACUCUAUCAAUAAGGCUGAUUGAGAAGUGAAAAUACAUUCAGAAGGAAUCUCCUACAAGUGCUAAUCAGAAGACUACGAUCGUAGUGCUUACCAAAAAGAAGAAGAGCCUGAUAAAGGAAAUACGAAGAUAUUGGUAAACCUGCUACAGAGUGAGCAAAGGACAAACAAGAAGGAUAUAAGUGCUCAGCCUUAACAUGGAGUAUGAUGAAGAGAUCAUAAGGCUGAAAGUUAAGAAAGCUGAGCAUGACAAGUCAAAAGGGAUAUGCAAACCAAAGUGUUAAAGCUGUCAAUCUACUUGUUAGUUCUUGAAGCAAGGCAAGAAAAGCACGAUCGUAGAAUAGACUGUGAGAGAAAAGUACAAGAUGGUACAACACUGAGCACGCUCGGAAUCAUAAAAGGUGUCAAGGUCAAGUCACCCUACGAUGAAUGUUAUUUAUUAAUGCAUAUGGUGAUAUGUAUGAUAGUAAAUGGGAUUGAUUAUGGACUAUUGACCAAUGUGAUUAGAUUUUAUUUUAGUUAGAUUCAUGAAUGAUUGGUUUCUAUAAAUAGAGUUUGCGUACCUCGUCUUCUCUAGUUUUUCUUUAUGUAAUUUCUUUCUCCCUCCUAUAUACUUCAUCUUGACU